GGAAACAUAGCUUAUUUUAAAGCCUGGCUUUGAAGAAGCUAAGAUAAUAUUUAUAUUUGUUUUCA
This 65-nucleotide transfer RNA is filed under the name Pupilla muscorum. RNAcentral's name for it is "tRNA-Phe". The record is from RNAcentral. Lineage: Eukaryota; Metazoa; Mollusca; Gastropoda; Stylommatophora; Pupillidae.